AAUAUGGGACUAGGGGCGAACGUCUACUCCAGCCAGGCCGUGUGUGUGAAGAAGGACUUCGAUUUGUAACGCAUUUAGCGUUGGGAGGAAGGCAUGUAUUUUAAUACAUUGCCAUUUUGAUGUUACCGACAGAAUAAGCAACGGCACACUUCGUGCUCACCGCCGCGGUAAUACGAAGGGUGCAAGCGUUAAUCGGAAUUACUGGGCGUAAAGCGCGCGUAGGUGGUUCGAUAAGUCAGAUGUGAAAGCCCCGGGCUUAACCUGGGAACUGCAUCCAAAACUGGCAGGCUAGAGUACGUUAGAGGAAGGUAGAAUUUCCUGUGUAGCGGUGAAAUGCGUAGAUAUAGGAAGGAAUACCGGUGGCGAAGGCGGCCUCCUGGAAUGAUACUGACACUGAGGUGCGAAAGCGUGGGGAGCAAACAGG
This 424-nucleotide ribosomal RNA is filed under the name uncultured bacterium. RNAcentral's name for it is "partial 16S ribosomal RNA". It matches the Rfam family "Bacterial small subunit ribosomal RNA", at positions 360 to 776 of the family's 1533-position model. The record is from RNAcentral.